Molecule: long non-coding RNA, 5681 nt
Filed under: Sus scrofa (pig)
Lineage: Eukaryota; Metazoa; Chordata; Mammalia; Artiodactyla; Suidae
Description: lncRNA (ENSSSCG00065000514.1)
Source: RNAcentral
CUGUAAGAUUAAAGCAGGAAGUGAAGAGAAAAACACCAAAAUAAUCAAAAGGCUUCCUGCCUGAGUUUGACAUUCUUUAGAAGUUAGGUCCAAAUUUAGAUAGAGAGCUGGGCAAUUCGAAGGUGACUUUCCUUAAACAUUUUCUCUAGUUUCUCCUCAAGACAGUGACCUGUAACAUCACCAAGCCAUUCUUGAGCUAUACCUGUGAUUGUCAUGUUAAGAACCACGUGAAGUUUAAGAAAAUUCGAGAUAUGGUUCCUGAUUCUGUCAGAUUCCUUGCCCUGCCCUCAAAGCACCAGCUUUUUUCCAACAAUAGGAUAUUUGCAAAUUCAUGCUUUCUUAGCAGAGAAUGUCUUCCCAUCCUUUUCCCCUUCAAAAUCCAAAUUUAGGGCCUUCCUAAUCCCUACUUACUCUUUAAGGCAUAUGGAGAUUCCCAGGCCAGGGGUCUAAUCCGAGCUGUAGCCGAUGGCCUAUGCCAGAUACACAGCAAUGCUGCAUCCGAGCCACAUCUUCGACCUGCACCACAGCUCAAGGCAACGCCGGAUCCCCAACCCACUGAGCAAGGCCAGGGAUCGAACCCUCAACCUCAUGGCUCCUAGUCGGAUUCAUUAACCACUGAGCCAUGAUGGGAACUCUGCAAAUCCAUUUUAUUUACUGCUCCAUUUAUCUCUUUCCUCUGGAAGUUCCAACUUUGUAUAUAAGGCUGUUGCCACAGAACUUGGGUCUUUAUUAGACAUCCAACUGAAAGAAUGUUGGAGGAUAAAUAAGUGAAUGAAUGAAUGAGUCUUACUGUAUUAGAUAACUGUUGCUGUACAAUAAUACAGUUGUUUAAAAGGCGCUGUUUGUUAUUGCUUGUGCAACUGUAAGUCAGCUGGAGCUUUGCUGAUUAACUCUGAGCUUGGCUGGGGUGAUUCAUUUGGGAUGACUGCCUUUUCCAUGUUCUUCAUUUUCCUCUUGGAACCAGACAUGUGUUCCUCAAGGGCACAGCAGAAGCACAAGAAUGAAAGCAGAAAUGUUGAAAGCCUGUUAAGGCAUACUAUCAUGGCCACCUUAUUCGUUUGACCACAUAGGGCAUCUAAGUCAAGGGACAGGUCAAUAUAUUCUUCUCCUUUAGUCACAUGACAAAAUUACAUAUCAAAGGGUGAAGACACAAGGAGAGAGAGAAAAUCAGUCUCAGUCAUGAAUCCAACCAGUUAAGAAGGAAAUACUGACAACCAUAUCAAGAUAGAAAUAGAAAAUUGGUUGCUUACCAUAAAUACCAUUUGGCCAAACUCCAUAUCAUCUCUUUUAUCCUCAUAUCAGCAAGUCAGGCCAUUACUGACUUAAUGGCCUAUGUGAUCUAUAAAUAUUUACCAAAUUAGAUUGGAUUACAGAUAGCAAAUACAUUAGUCAGAACAUGAAGAAUCUUGAUAUCUUCAUUUUUAUUUUUUUUUAAAUUAAAGACAAUAGAUAUGGAGGGUAGAUGAGUUAGGAAUGCAAAAUGAAAAGCUUUGAACACAAAAUAUUUGUACUUUAUGAAUGAAGACACUUUUACUUAAAUUUACAUACUUCAUGUUGGAAGUUGGUUUAAACAAUGUUCAAGGUCCUAAUAGUAGCUCAUACAAUGACCUUUUCAAUUUUAAAUGAGCUUGGAAUGGGUCAUGUAGGUUUUUCUGGGGCUGCUUCUUCAGAGUUUCUGCUCAGUUCACUGAGAUGGUGUUAAAUCUCCAAUGUCCAGGCGUUGAUUUACCAGGAAGAGUAUAGUUCACUUAAAAGCAGAAAAAGCCCUGGCAAUUAUCAAGCCCUGUGAAUUCCUGGCCCUCUUCCUUGAAGGCCCAGUGGGGCCUACUCAACUGGGCCAACCCCACACCAUGCACACUGGACUGGUGGUCCUCUUAUCAUAGAAAAUUCCACCAGUGCAGCCAAAAAAUACAAAAGGAAGCACACAAGAAAAAAAUGUGAAUAUAAUAUACAGGCCUGUGGAUUGAGUUUUAUGAAAAGAAAAAAAUAAAGGAGGGGAAUUUUUCUUAGCUCUUUUUCUAAGUCCAUUGCAGUAGAAAUAAUGGGACAAGUGGUUUACCAAAAGUAAACAGUUUUACUAUUUUUAAUGACACUGAGAGGAUAGCUUUAAAAUGUCUCUCCUAAUUUUGCCCUAUAAUUGGAUCAUUUAAAUUUGACUCCCUGAUAAAUAGAAUCAUACUUUUUCCCAUGAUUUGCUAUGCUAAAGAGUUUGUAUUUAUUAAAGAUAUGCAGAUCCAGAUAUUCCCACCACAUCUUUCUGGCUUGACUUUAGUUCCUAAUAAAGUGUAAUAUCAGAGCUCUGCCCCAUAGCUAAGAAACAUUAAGUUCCUGGAGGAAACAGGAUUCUUCUGGUUGUUUUUUAAACCCACUAACAUUGCUGAAUCUUGUCCUUCUGGUUUCAGAAAAUAUAAGUAAAAGAUGGGAACAUGCGUUCCUCCUUUGCCCAGUUCUGUCUCCCAGGUUUGUCUAUUUCAGUGUGAAGAGUCAUCCUUAAAUGGACAAACUCCAGUGUUUUAAUUUCUCUCCAUUUUCUGCUGAGAGAACUUUUAAAUAAUCAGCUGAGUGUGUAAAUGUUGAAUCCUGAUACUAUUUGAGCAAAAGAGCUAUGACAGAGUUCUCACAGCCAUCAGUAAAAUUCCUUCUAAUGGGAUUCUGGACCAAGGAAAUGCAAAAAUCCCUAAUAAAUGUCAGGCAGUGCUCAACUUCUAAUCCAUUGCCUACAAAACCUUAGGAAAGAAAUUCAUUUAUUGCUAGGAAUUGCUACCAUCCAAAGUUCUCAUUCAUUCUUUCCUAUUCUAUCAUUUACUUGAAACCUGGGUAAGACACGCCUUGGAGAAGGGGGCAGGGGAGAAAGAACUGCCACAGAUGGGAAACUGAGCUGCUUUACAAAUAUUCACAGCUGCCGCUUUCUGUAGCCAUGCCCCAUGUUCCACUGGACUCUCAAAAGGCAAGUUCAUAAGUUAUUUUGCCAUAAAAGGGAAUCAGCGCUUAAAUCCAGCUUCCCAAAGACCUCGGACACGAAAUUACCACAGCACUCCCUAAGGUCCAGAGCACAGAUUUUGCUCUCCUCCCACAUGCCUAUCCCUAAGAAAAGAGUUUUCCCACUAGAUAAAGUAAUUAAAAGCAUUCUCAGAAUAGAAAACAAUACAUUUGUGGCUUGAACAUGAGCCUAUUUUCAGAAAUACUCAAUUUAUUGCAUAUUUACAGUUUGAUAUUCCAACAGCUGUGAAACUCUCAUAUGAGGAAUUUAAUUGCUUAUAAGAAGAAAUAAAGCAUACAGGAGUAGUUGUGUGUGUGUGAGUGCUUGUGUGUGCCCAUGUUGUUGUUCUGCCUACCUCUGAUUUGUUAACUAACUUCAGGGAGAAUUCCUAAAAGACCUGAUACACCAGCCCAUGUGAAGUCACUGGUUAUCUCUAAAUGGGAACCACGAUUUUUAAAUCCUGUCUAGGUAAAUUACCUUUCCAGUGCAGGGUAUUUCCUUUUAGAAGAUUCCUUGGGAAGGGCCUCUAGGGAACUGACUAACUUUUUAAUGGUUCACUCAGAUUAAGAGGAAGGAAAUGUGAACUCCUCUGGGGGGAGGCACCACUCUAGGCCGUCUGCAUCCUGUAAUUCUUCCCAAGUCCGUGAAUCAUACUUUUAAGACGCCUUUUCAAGGGCAUUUGUCUUCCUUUAAGAGAAGGCCAACGCAGAAAAGACAAGGUUUAAAAUAGGUCUCAAUCAAGCCUUAGCCAUAAAAACAAUUGCCUGAUUCUCCCCCUGUCUAUCUGGAGAAGGUCUCUGAGUGUCCUUUACCUGCACGCCUGCCUCGCUCACCUUGCACAGUACUUGACUUGGGUUGCUUUCAUACUUAUUUUGCUUUCAGAAUUAAGAUGAUUUCUAAUAUCAUCCAAGCAUCUUUAAGCUAUAAUUCUGGAUUGUGUUGUCCAUUGCAACCGGCUUCUGAGACUGAUUUCAUGUAUGCAGUAAAAAUAUAAAGAAAUGAGCUACCAUAAGAAGCCUUUUCCAAGCCCUUUUAGAUAGCAAUCUUACUUUUAAAACCAUGUCUUUAUUUAAUAAAAAUAGUUUUCUGUAGGCAAAUAUAGACUAUGUUUUUACCUUUCCCCAAAAGGUCUGAACACUUUUGAAAAUAGUUUUGGUAGUAGACAGAAGUGAACAAGGUAAAUUUCUGUACAAGAAUGAAGUAACAAUAGCAUAUUUCUAAAAUGCAAUAUCAAUUUCUAAAAGUAAUAUCGAUUGUAUUGAAUCUUUAACUGUAUCACAAUAUCAGUUUGUCAAUGAAUAAAGUAUAUUUGAUUGAUCAUCUACCAAAUGGCAGCUUGUAAUUUUUUUAAGGUACUAACAAGAGUGGAUAUGUUCUAUAAAAAUGCAAAAGGACAAAUGCAAACAACAAGGCAUACCUGUGUGAACCCUAAUGUAAGCCAGAAAUUUUGGAUCAUUAUGAAGUGCCAAUGUAGGCUCAUCAGUUGUGACAAAUAUUCCACUCUGGUGGGGAUUUUGAUAAUAAGAAAGGCUAGGCUUAUGUGGAAAAUCUCUGUAAAUUCCACUCAAUGUUGCUGUGAACCUAAAAAUGCUCUAAAAAAAUGAAAACUUUUUAAAACAUGUCCAAAAGUAAAUUUAAAUUGUAUUUAAAUUAACAGAAUGCUCAGGGUUGGUUUCUACAGAUCUGCAAACAAUCCCUUCUUUGUGAUUCCUUAAUCUGAGUCUCCAGAAAAAUCAGCAUUUAUUUAUGUGUGCUUGUAUGUGUGCGUGUUGGGGGACCUCUAUGGCCACCAUUCCAUAUUGACCUCAAUUCACAUGUAGCAAAAUGUGAUUCAGGCUGAUGUAGAGUAUACGUAGUUUUUAUCCCCAUUUGGAGUGAGUAGUCAUACCCACUGAUGAUGGUGGGUAAUGUAUGGAUAUAUGUGUCAUAUUACUUUUCAAAAUCCUAAGAAUUCUGAAUUAUAAAACACACUUUACCCUAAGCAUUUUGAACGGGAGAUUGUGUACCAAACACGCUGAAUGAUAGAAAAUAGCAAAGGAAGAAAACAACAGAAAGGGAAAUAGUGAAGUUCUAUUUUAUCCCUUCCCUGAUUUCUUGGGAGAUUUGGUUCCUAGGUGUCCAUGUAGAGCCCCAUGAUUAUAAUGGUCACUUUUUAUUGAAAUUUACCAUCAGUAAUAAAGUGCAAAACCCUAGAAACAUAAUUAUGAUUUUUACUCACAUAUAUAUAUCUUAGAGGUUUUAUAUGAAUGCCUAUAGACCAUAUUUUGUUUCUUUAAGUCUAUUGCAAGUGAGUACCCAGAAACAUGUCUUUCUUUCCUCUUAACCACUGGUGACUAUGAUUGCAUGGUUCAUUGCUUUAGAACAAAAGGACAACAAAAAUAUUGGAAAGCCAAGUGUACAUUCAGUUUUAGCAAACUUAGUUUCAAGGAAAUAGUCCAAAUAAUAUCCUCCAGGUUUAAAUUUUUAAAUGUAAGGUUUUUUUAAAAAAACCUUACAUUUAUGCUCCUAUGAAUGUCCCUCAACAUGGUAAGGCCUUAUUAAAAUAAAGAAAUCAAGACACUUAAUUGUGUCAGUUGAAUGUUUCUGAGCCAUACUAUUGACAACAGAUAAAGAUUUAAGUGACUUUAUACCUUUGACUCUGAGAUAAGAUCCUAGAUAAGUAGUCAUUCAAACAUACAGUGUGACUACUUACAUUUAAGUU